This 335-nucleotide unclassified non-coding RNA is filed under the name soil metagenome. RNAcentral's name for it is "partial contains 5.8S ribosomal RNA, internal transcribed spacer 2, and large subunit ribosomal RNA". The stretch from base 1 to 120 matches the Rfam family "5.8S ribosomal RNA", at positions 35 to 154 of the family's 154-position model. The record is from RNAcentral.
GAUGAAGAACGUAGCGAAAUGCGAUAAGUAAUGUGAAUUGCAGAAUUCAGUGAAUCAUCGAAUCUUUGAACGCACAUUGCGCCCGCCAGUAUUCUGGCGGGCAUGCCUGUUCGAGCGUCAUUUCAACCAUCAAGCCCCCGGCUUGUGUUGGGGACCUGCGGCUGCCGCAGGCCCCGAAAAGCAGUGGCGGGCUCGCUGUCACACCGAGCGUAGUAGCAUACAUCUCGCUCUGGGCGUGCUGCGGGUUCCGGCCGUUAAACCACCUUCAUAACCCAAGGUUGACCUCGGAUCAGGUAGGAAGACCCGCUGAACUUAAGCAUAUCAAUAAGCGGAGA